This 815-nucleotide long non-coding RNA is filed under the name Manacus vitellinus (golden-collared manakin). RNAcentral's name for it is "lncRNA (ENSMVIG00005006716.1)". The record is from RNAcentral. Lineage: Eukaryota; Metazoa; Chordata; Aves; Passeriformes; Pipridae.
AUGGAGAAGCAAAGGGAAGGGUCACAGCUGAGCCGGGGACACGCAGGAACCAGGCAGCUGCGCCAGCAGAGAGGACACCUGGGAGUCUCCCUGAGCAGCAGGAACUGGCACCACCCGGGGACACGAGGCCGGGCAAAGUGCACAGCCAGGUGUGGCGAGAGGCAGCCAUGGAGGGGUAGGUCCUGCCAGCCCCAGCGGGCACAGGGGGUGGGCAGGGUGGGUGCUGGGGGUCAGGGGGAGCGGGGGGCACAGGAACUGGGUGCAGGGUGUGGGGCAGCACCGGCCACACGGCUCUUGCCACUGUGUCUCCUCUGCUUCAGCCCAAGGCUCUGCAGCAUCACCGUCCUGCUGGGCACUGCCCUCCUCCUGCUGGCACCCAGCAGCACCCAGGCUCUGAGCAGCUCCGGGCGGAAGGGCCUGCCCACGGACUGGGAUUUGGAUAAGGAAAUCAUCCCGGGUGUGGAUGUGCUGGAGGAGUGGGAGCUCUCCGAAGAGGUGAAACCAGGUAGAAAGGCUGUGUCCAGAAGGACCUGGCACCCCCCACAAGUCCAGGUAGAGCCAGAGGAGGAUCGAGACCACCUCUACCACCCCCAGGACGACGCCAGGAAGGUGGAUGUCCGUGAGCCACCCCGGAUGCUGUCCCUGCAGGUGCAGAAUGGCCCAGAGGAGGACCGAGACCAUCUCUACCACAGCUGAGUGCAGAUGUGCCCAGACUGUGAAAUGAGGGGUGGGAGCUACCCCUGGGGCUCCCUUGGGGGACUCAUCCUUCCCUACCCAUCCUUGAGGCCCCCCCAAUAAACCCACUCCCCUCUCCA